Molecule: ribosomal RNA, 111 nt
Filed under: uncultured Gemmatimonadota bacterium
Lineage: Bacteria; Pseudomonadati; Gemmatimonadota
Description: uncultured Gemmatimonadetes bacterium partial 16S ribosomal RNA
Rfam family: Bacterial small subunit ribosomal RNA
Source: RNAcentral
GGGGACAUCCGUGGAUGGUGAAAGCAGCAAUGCGCCGAUGGAGUGCCUCGCGGCCUAUCAGCUAGUUGGUGGGGUAACGGCUCACCAAGGCGAAGACGGGUAGCUGGUCUG